RNAcentral lists this small nuclear RNA (23 nucleotides) under Arabidopsis thaliana (thale cress). RNAcentral describes it as "snRNA_07740". Lineage: Eukaryota; Viridiplantae; Streptophyta; Magnoliopsida; Brassicales; Brassicaceae. The record is from RNAcentral.
AUUUAUCAUAUGACCUUCUUUAU